AGUUGACGUUCGGGUUCCGCGGGACGGGGCCGCCCCGCGAGGGACGGCGCCGCCCCGGGGCUCGUGAUAUCUCAUCUUCGCCGCCCGUCGCGAGGCGGACGGAGGGAUGGAUGAGGUUACCUGGAAAAAAUCGGGGCGAUCUAGGCGGGCGAACCUCGCCAACGAACGAUCGGACAUGGGAUAACGGAAGAGGGCGUCGGCUCGACUUCGUCGGUUCCUCGGGCCGAGGCACGUACGGUGAAUAGGGACGGUCGGGGCCGCCCGUACCGGGUCGUGAGAGGUGAAAUUCUA
RNAcentral lists this ribosomal RNA (291 nucleotides) under Arcella intermedia. Its description in RNAcentral is "partial 18S ribosomal RNA". The stretch from base 117 to 291 matches the Rfam family "Eukaryotic small subunit ribosomal RNA", at positions 752 to 921 of the family's 1831-position model. Lineage: Eukaryota; Tubulinea; Elardia; Arcellinida; Arcellidae. The record is from RNAcentral.